RNAcentral lists this transfer RNA (86 nucleotides) under Candidatus Yanofskyibacteriota bacterium. Its description in RNAcentral is "tRNA-Leu". It matches the Rfam family "tRNA". From Rfam's summary of the family: Transfer RNA (tRNA) molecules are approximately 80 nucleotides in length. Their secondary structure includes four short double-helical elements and three loops (D, anti-codon, and T loops). Lineage: Bacteria; Candidatus Yanofskyibacteriota. The record is from RNAcentral.
GCCCAGGUGGUGGAAUUGGCUAUACACGUGCGCCUCAAAAGCGCAUGCCGUAAGGCUUGAGGGUUCGAGUCCCUCCCUGGGCACCA